UACGGAGGGCGCGAGCGUUAAUCGGAAUUACUGGGCGUAAAGCGCGCGUAGGCUGUUGUGUAAGUUGGGGGUGAAAUCCCACGGCUCAACCGGUACAGGCUCUGGAAACUGGCGGGCUAGAGAGCAGGAGAGGGCGGUGGAACUCCAUGUGUAGCGGUAAAAUGCGUAGAUAUAUGGAAGAACACCAGUGGCGAAGGCGGCCGCCUGGCCUGUUACUGACGCUGAGGCACGAAAGCGUGGGGAGCAAAUAGG
RNAcentral lists this ribosomal RNA (252 nucleotides) under uncultured Allobaculum sp. Its description in RNAcentral is "partial 16S ribosomal RNA". It matches the Rfam family "Bacterial small subunit ribosomal RNA", at positions 524 to 776 of the family's 1533-position model. Lineage: Bacteria; Bacillati; Bacillota; Erysipelotrichia; Erysipelotrichales; Erysipelotrichaceae. The record is from RNAcentral.